AGAUGGAACUCCUCAUCCUCACAACCCUGCUUUUUACUCUCUCUACGUUAAUCCCAAUCUGCAGUUCUAACCACUUAGAAGUACCGAGCUCACCACUUCAUGGUCCUCCUCUCUCAGCCAUGAGCAAACUUUCAAGGAAGUUAAGGGCUGGGGACUUAGCCGUGGUGGAGGAAUGUGUCCAAACAAGUUGCAAAAUCACAGGCCAAGGCAUUGAUCAUUUCUCAAGUGAUACUUCUAAAGAAAUGACGACACUCUUGCCCACCCCAUUACCUCCUCCUCUUCCAAACCAACAACAAGAAGAAGUUCAACCCUUCAAUGAAGACUACAGCUCCCCAAGUUCACACCCUCCCAUCAACAACUAACCUUUUUUUUUCCUUCAACUCACAAGCUUGCAUGGCUCGGCUUGGCUCACCUUCACCCCCUUAACUUUUAUUUGUUUUUUUGUUUUUUUGUUUUUUUUCCAUAUAUUUCCCUAUAAUCUAUAGUAACAACUAUAGUUUAGCCGAAUUUUAUUUAUUCUUUUCGUGAGCCGAGCUCAAGCUGACAUGAAAUAGAAGCUCAUUGUUCCGUGUCGAGUCGAAAUGCACCUGCCAUGAGACCACAAGAAAGCCUAGCCAUGCUCCAUCUAAGCCUGCUAACUUAGGAGCCGAGCCUAGCCAUGCAAGGAGAAUAGAUGGCCCAGAUUUCGCGCAUACAAUUAGGACUCGACUCGGAGAUGCGGAGACAUGGCGGCUUAUGAGCAUGGACUAUGUGCAUGCACGAAAGCGGCGUCCUAUUCAUAACAAGCGGCCGUAGAUCCAUAAGGGCAUGCCGAUUUUUGCAUUAGGACUGGAGAAUUAGAUAAAUUCUUACUGUGAUCGUGAUCAGUGUUCUCAUCCCGUGAGAAUUUGUGUUUUUAAUACAAUUUUGAAAGAAAUGUUAGUUCGACACUGCUUAAUUCGGUCACUUGGUUCUGAACU
RNA transcript from Amborella trichopoda, 959 nucleotides. RefSeq lists it as uncharacterized. The record is from RefSeq and is a predicted model, not a curated record. NCBI's taxonomy places the organism in Eukaryota, Viridiplantae, Streptophyta, Magnoliopsida, Amborellales, Amborellaceae.